AGCAUUUAAAAACAAUCCACAAAAGUGGUCAAAAUACGGUGUUAUCAAGGGGGAAUAUGUGAAAAUUCUCAAAAGAAGCAAUAGGACGAAACAAGAGGUUCUUGCAAAGAAAAAUCAAGUCAAGAAGGGCUAAAAGGAAUGGAAACAAUUGGGAGAUGGUGCCAAUUCUGAAUUUCAAACCAAGGCCAUAGCUACAUCAUGAAAUCGUUAACCUAUACUCUUUUUCCCUUCAUAAAGUUUUAUUGCAAGAGGUUUUCUUUAGUAAGAUUUUUAAUGAGGUAGUUUGGCGUGUUGCAAGCUUGGCCUGUGGUCCUCUUUAGCGUCUCGACGACCAAGCUUGUGGGGGAGUAUUAGAGAGGAAGAAGAGAAGAAGAGGUGAGGCCGAAGUCAAGAAGACAAAGCCGAAGAAUUUCACUCAAGAUCCAAGUUGGUGCGGUUCAAAAAAGACCAAUGAUGGAUUAAAGUUACAUUGAGAGGCUAUGGAGGAGUUAAUGAAGUGUUGUGUAAGGAUUGAAGGAGUUAGAUAAGUGGAGUUCUCAAUAGAUCAGGAAGUAGGACGCUUAAAGGCUGAAGACCGAUAAGCGUCCAUACAGAUCAAGACUGUGUGGUGAGCUGCGGAUUGAUAUCUGACCGUUAGAGGCUGAUAAGAGACCGUACAGCUCUACAUUCUAGUGAGACUCAAUCACUUAGUCUCGGCACAUCUACAAGAAGAUCAAGGCUGAGGUUCAUCUGCAAGAAGGGCGAGGCCCAUAUCCAAGAAGGGCAAGAAUGAGAAGGAAUAAAGCCCAGUGUAUGCAAGACAAAGCCCAUAAGUGACAAGAAGAGAAGGGAAACCGAUUUGAAUUGGAGUCUGGACUCACAUGUGGCUUUAGUCGUAUGUGACCGUUUGUGAGCUGUCACUUUCAAUAGUGUGAACACUAAAUAAAGAAGCAUGUGACUCUGUCUUUCCUUGUAAUACAGAACGAUAUUUUAAAAUGUUCACACUAGGUUUCUCAUGUUUAAUUCGCUAUAUAUAUAUAUGUCUGUAAUAUGGUCACAAGAAUCAUCUUAAUAUACACAAGUAUUUUACACAAUAUUAUCUCUCUUAUUUUUCUCUUGUGUUCUUGUCCUAAAGUCACAAUGUAGACUAAGUAAGAACACGUGUAGGGCUGCUUAUAGCAGCCAAAUACACUCUUUAAUUCAUCCUUUCCUAAGUAAUUCAAGAGUGAUUCAUUUGCUUUUCUCAUUCUCUACUAAAGAACAAUUUCUAGUUCUCUUGUUAUUUCUCUCUUAAUAAUGAAUCAAUUUACUGAUUCUGAUCCUUCUUUUGAGUAUAAAAACUCUAUUGUGUUGUAUUACUCCUCAGGUUAAGUCUCAUAUAGAUUUAUUUCUCUCCUUUAUAGAAUCAGUUUCAUUCACCUUGGUGAGGUUCUAUCAAGUUCUUUGUGUUGGUUCUGUCGCAAGUUGAUUGUUCCUUUUCUCAUUUUCAUAAAUUCCAACAUGGUAUCAGAGCAGUGACUUUCCUCGUUUUUCACCAUUUUUAUUCAAGACAAUUUUUUUCUCUUGUUUAAAGUCAUGGAAAACACUAAGUCUUGUGUUAUUUCUUUGCUCUUGUUGUUUAAAGCUCACAGAAAAUUCUUCUCCAUGUGUGAUAAUGUGAGUAAUUAUUUUUAAAGCCAUUAAUACACCAAAGUUCUUGCUGUUCUUGGUUGUUCUUGGUUCUCUUUGCUUCCGCAAAACUUAGGAAAAACAGAGCAAAAAUCUGUCCAUUUGAACUCUUGAGCAAAUUCUCUAUUCUCCAUUCUAUUUUGCUUCCGCGUAUUUUGUCUAUUCUCCUCCAUUCUCUAAAUUCUGUUUUCUUCCACUAUUCUCUCUAUUCUUCACCAAUCUCCUAAUUCUUUAUUCUCUCAACCUCUCACUAUCAUAAAUAAUUCAAAUGUUUAAAAUUUCAAACAGUGAGAUGGUGUUUUGUUUUCAUUUGGGAUCGCUUUCUCUCUCAUGAAAGCAUAGCGAGUGUGCAGUGUUUUGAAACAGUCAUGAGGCUAGAUUCAAACACUAAAGGCUUCAAGAAAGCCAUGAAAAAGACGCCCAACAUAAUGCUUGGAGUUUGAACCAGUAACCAUCAAGCUUUGGAGACCACAAGACAAGCCCAAUCUAGUCUUAACCCGGCUGACUUGAUGAUGGCGGACCAAAGAGGCUGACCUGAAGAUAACAGACCCCAAGGUGGCUAAGGUGGAAGUUCAAGUGUAGAGGAAAGCUGGUGGAAGGCUCUGAAACAAUCCCAAAGCGUUUGUGUAUGUGUAUAGCUGAUGGGGUUCAGGAAAUCCACAAGGUGUCAAGAUGUGGUGUCAAACCAUAUCCAAGUCAAGAAGUGCGGAGGAGGAUAAACCUCAAAUGGAGAGACAAAUCGAUGCAAUGUCUCAUGGAGCAAAACUGCAUCUCAAAAUCCUCGAAGUCCUCUUCAUCUCAAAAGGGUUUAAAGGAGAGGAGGAAUGUGUGAAAAUUUUAAAAGAAGCAAUAGGAGGAAUGAAGAGGUUCUUGUGAAGAGAAAUCAAGUCAAGAUGGGCUAACAGGAAUGGAAACACUUGGAAGAUGGUUUUUAAUGACGUAGUAUGGCGUGUUGGAAGCUUGGCCUCUAGGCCUCUUUGGGGUCUCGACGACCAAGCUUGCGGGGGAGUAUUAGAGAGGAAGAAGAGAAGAAGAGGCGAGGCUGAAGUCAAGAAGACAAGGCCGAAGACUUUCACUCAAGAUCCAAGUUGGUGCGGUUCAAAGAAGACCAAUGAUGGAUUAAAGUUACACUGAAUGGCUAUGGAUGAAUUAAUGAAGUGUUGUCUAAGGAUUGAACGAGUUAGAUUAGUGGAGUUUGUUGGGGUCGAUUUCACCCCAAACAUUUUAACCAUCUCGAAAAUGACUAGGUACCUGGAAAAACCGAGCCCCGCAAAGGAAAAACCGAGCUGCGCACGAGGAGACAUAGGUCGAGCCGAGCUGCUUCUUAGUUGGAUUGACCGAGCCCUGCAGAGGGAGUAAGUCGGCCGAGUCGUACUGUGAGACAUGGGCCGAGCCGCGCCUCGAUGAGUUGGGACAAACAGCGUGACGCUUCAGUAAGCAGACUCCAACAACUAGUGGGCCUAGCCACGAAGAUGUAAGGCACAUAGAAACUCUAGACAAAGCGAUAUGGCAGCGGCCGCACAAGGUGAUAAAUAAAUAUUCCAAAAAUAUUUCCCGAGAUUUUCGGCUAGACGGUUUAAAGAUUGAGUAUAAAUAAUCAAUGUAAUCGAUUCAUUAUGUAACUUUUACCGACUCGAGAGCAAUAAGACUAAAACACUUUU
Molecule: long non-coding RNA, 3308 nt
Organism: Eutrema salsugineum
Lineage: Eukaryota; Viridiplantae; Streptophyta; Magnoliopsida; Brassicales; Brassicaceae
Exons: 3
Source: RefSeq, a predicted model, not a curated record